CUCUGCUUCGUUUCUCCUUAUUAUACUUUCUUAUUUCUUCUUCUAUUCGAUUUUGGCGCCAAGAAGAAGGGGAUACUGUGAAACCCUAACCUAACCAUGCCGCAGAGCAGAGGUUCUUCAGAGGCCAAAAAAUCGACACUUGAGGCGCUCCAACCCCCACGUUCGAAUGGUAUUUAUGUGAUGAGUUGAGGUCUUGUUCUUGUGGGCUAUCUGAUCUGGUUUCCUUUUAAAAUCAUCUGCCAGUUUGUCAUUUCGAUCAGUCAAGAGAUAUAUGGCUUGCCCUUGUUUGUGAAUAAUAACUGAAGUUGUAACUCGUGCACACAAUCAUCGAAUUAAACUACUUAAUUGAAUGAAAAUUUUAUUUUCAGUUUUAGGGAAGUUAUAUUUGUUUUAGUUGAUAAAGUACUGAUUCGAUUUUAACAUUUCAAAAAUAGUUGUAUCCAUACAGAAAAUUUGAGGGAGAAGAAUGUGUAGUUAUUACUUUUAAUGUCUAUUUUUACAUAAAGGAUUAAAUAGAAUAAAAAAAGGAUAUUUCAAUAUGUACUUGCUAUUGUAAAUGAAUGUGAGGGGAGGCUUUGCUGUACGUCAAUAUUUCAAAAUAGCUUGUUGAACUAUUGGUAUCAGAUUCCAAAGUAAUAGUGGAUAGGCUACAUCAAGAUGAGGAAGAUAUAUCAGAAUGUGGCUUGAUUAAUCGGCAGAAUAGGAACGUGCUCAAGAAUUACCGUUCUUUCUUAUUGUCGGAGGCUUGAAUGAGAACAACCCUGCUGAGAAUACCUG
RNAcentral lists this small RNA (777 nucleotides) under Vigna angularis var. angularis. Its description in RNAcentral is "Non-protein coding transcript". Lineage: Eukaryota; Viridiplantae; Streptophyta; Magnoliopsida; Fabales; Fabaceae. The record is from RNAcentral.